This 265-nucleotide ribosomal RNA is filed under the name uncultured archaeon. RNAcentral's name for it is "partial 16S ribosomal RNA". It matches the Rfam family "Archaeal small subunit ribosomal RNA", at positions 717 to 982 of the family's 1478-position model. The record is from RNAcentral.
ACACGACUACAUUAGAUACCCCUGUAGUCCCAGCCCUAAACGAUGCGCGUUAGGUGUAUCGGUGACCACGAGUCACCGAGGUGCCGAAGGGAAACCGUGAAACGUGCCGCCUGGGAAGUACGGUCGCAAGGCUGAAACUUAAAGGAAUGGGCGGGGGAGCACCACAACGGGUGGAGCCUGCGGUUUAAUUGGACUCAACGCCGGGAAGCUCACCGGAUAAGACAGCGGAAUGAUUGCCGGGCUGAAGACCCUGCAUGACCAGCUG